GUUGGUAUUAUUUUUCUAUUUCAGGAAAACCAAAUCUAGAUUUCCAGACAUGACCCUACUUGCUCAGGCUGUACAAAGCCUUAUUCAAGAGAAGUUACCAGAUCUGAUCCUUGUGUUAAUUCUCAAGCUUGAUUUGACAGAGUGGAACAAGUUUAUGAAGAGCCUUAAUUCUGCAGUCUGCAGUCUCCCCGUGGCCAUGUUCAGAGAGCUCCUGGGGAAAUCCAGAACUGUUCCCACUCCACCUUCCCUGUACCAGCAGCGAUGUUGUGCCUGUGCUGCCUGUUCCUUCUGAUCUGUAGUGCCACAGAAUAAGGAGAUGACUCAACGAAAACUCCCCAUUCAUUCAUUCCCGGGGUUGAAUAAACAGCACCAAAUUCCAAGCAGACACUAAUCAGCUUAUGAAACUCCUAUUUUUUUUUUUUUUUUUUUUUUUUU
Pseudopipra pipra is the source of this 435-nucleotide long non-coding RNA. RefSeq lists it as uncharacterized. The record is from RefSeq and is a predicted model, not a curated record. NCBI's taxonomy places the organism in Eukaryota, Metazoa, Chordata, Aves, Passeriformes, Pipridae. The transcript is spliced from 3 exons.